AUGACUGUCCUAUUUGAGAUUCAUCACAACUGUAUCCAGUUAAGGUCAGCGAUGUUGAUUAAUUAAGAGCUUAAAUGAGCAUGCUAAGGUUACUCUGUUUGGUUGUUGAAGGGUUUGAAGGCUGGUCACUUCUGAACUAUGCCUAUGCCUGUUGCCAAACUGUGCCAGCCAAGGACAGAAGCUCAAGAGCUGGCUUUGGUGGUGGAAGAAGUGGAUUCUGCAAGAGGAGGAUUUUAGACAGUCACUACAGCACUUCUACAUCCUUUUUGUCUGGAUGAUAAAAUCUAAGCAAAUCCUUCAGACAUCAACAACCAAAAUCCAUUGGUGGCCCCAAAUAAUCCCCUCUGCACAAAGACACCAGCUGGAAGCUCCUCAGCCCCUCUCCUGCAGCACGUCUCUGCUGAAAAGUUGCCAUGCAGAUGUCGCAGGGUGAUUCCUGGUUCUUCAAUUCUCGUCUACAGUGGUACGUGAAGAAUGCAAUAAAAUAACAGAACGGCUUUUCAAACAGCCCAAGUAUUCAAUAAAAUGUGCACUGCCACUAUGCAAGAGCAAGAGCCAAACUUGGUUAUUACAAAGCAUGCCAGUGUGAGGAAAACUGGUUAAAAUCCUUCCCGGAUGCAGGGGAUGCUGGCUGACAAUGCAGGGGUCUGAAGAAUUCUUUUUUUCAAGAGGAAAAACUUGGCAUCCCUACCAGCUUGUAUCCCUGCAGGAAGUUUGCUGCGGCUUCAGCAGAGGAAUGUAUCUGACCAAGCCCAAGCAAAAAGAUCCUUUGUGCCCAUUCUGAUUGUCAGUUACUUCAAGCUAGUUCAGGAUUCAGGAAAUAGUGUGUAGUAGCUAACAGCACUAAUCCUUGUACCUGCCAGUCAUGGUGUUUAAUAGAAGCAGAGCAGUUUUACCUUGCAACACCUAGGAAAUGUGAGCGCCUGGUACCUAUAAAGCUCCAAUAUUAAACAUCAUAAACUCAGCCCCUUUUCUCAAUGCGGAACUAUUUAGCUAUGCAAGGCAAAAGGGAAGCUAGGUUUACCAAUUCACAAUGCCCUUCCCAUCACACCUGGAUAAAUAAAAUAUACUCCAAAUGAUUCCUGUAGUGUCUGUGGACUUGCACACUGCUUCAAACAAAGUUUCUCUCCUAUUUUUUAUCUGGCUUAUUCAACUAUCUGACAGAAAAAGAUUUCUUUGUCUCAGGAGAAAUGUAAAGUACCAAUAACUAUUAAACGAGGAAAUCAAAAUACAGAGUUCUGCUACCAAAGAGCUGGGAUUUGGCACUGCACUGAAACUGCUUCUUGUUGUCCCACAUUGUUCUUUGCUGAGUGAUACUCGCUGCACUGCUGCCGCAGCAUUCAGCAGACAGAGAGCAAGCACUCCUGAUUUAAAUGUUAAAGCCUUUGUGUGUAGCUGCUUUAAGGUUUUUCUCUAGGAUCUUAUAACUGUGGCUUAUUGCCUUAAGUAUCUCUGUACUUAGAGUCAGCCUGUUCUGCAAGAUUUUCACUGCAGAACCACAGUGAGCAUUUGGGGUGGUUGCGCUUUGGGAUGUUACUUUUUAUCCAGCCAGGUACCAGGUACUCUCCGGCAGCAGAAUGUGGGCACAGGGCUGCCAACUCUGCCAGUGCCGGUAGGGACUGAUGACUUUUUGCAGCCUGAUGGAAUCCUAAGCUCUUAACGCCACAGAGGAACAAACCCAGGAGGCUGACAGUCUCUGACUUUGUUCUGUGAUACACCAGAUCUUACAUAGGUAGCUGGAAAGUUGGUGUUGCUUCUUAGCAGUGUCACGGGGUUGGGAGUGGGCAGCAAAUUCCACGGGUCUACUAGAAAAUCGCUCCUAAUUGCUGGGAGCUCCCUGCUGAACAUCCUGCAAGGCUCUGAAAAAAUGCUGGAAAUCGACUUUUAUUUUUAUCCA
This is a non-coding RNA of Coturnix japonica (Japanese quail), 1897 nucleotides long. Lineage: Eukaryota; Metazoa; Chordata; Aves; Galliformes; Phasianidae. The record is from RefSeq and is a predicted model, not a curated record.